CCUGCAUGUCAUUAAACAGCCUCUUUGUCAGGGCAUACUCCCUCUUAUAUGACCCAUAAACAUUGCAGAUAAAAUCUAUUUGAAUCAAGGUGUUACUUUAGUGCAACCUGAAAGAAAAAUAGACUUUUAUGAAGGUGUUAAUAUCAAGGCAACAUAUCAUACAGGCACAUUUGCAAUCAUUUCUUAAUAGCAGAUAUUUCCCUGUCCGUCCACAGGCCUACAGUCUCUGCCGGACUGAGCAUGAGCAGGUCUCACUGUUGUCUGACCUUCUGAUUCGCAGAGGAGAGGGCAUCACCUCCACCACUCGUAGGGUUGGUCCUGAGCUCUCCAAACGCCUCUUCCUCAUGAUGAAUUUCUCUGAUCCUGAGCAGACUCUGGACUCCAACCUCUGAAAUUCAAAGCUGGUUACAAAACUGGCAUUUGUGUUGACUGCUAGAAUUCAUCAUUUAUCUUCCUGGCAUGUUUUCUCAUUUAGCACUGCACUUCACAGCAACUGCUAUCAAAAUAAAAUUUAUAUUUUUCUAUUACUACUUUCAUAAUUAUCUUUACAAUAGUGCGUUAGGCUGGCUUUGCACUUGUCAUCUCCUCUUUAGAGACACUUUAGAAAGAUGAUACGACCUUGUAUUAGAGCUUAGAUUUUUCUGUUUUUUGCAUUUUUACCAGAAGUGUCAUGUCCAAAAUUAUUUAUAAUCAGAAAUUACAGAAUAAAAACAGCUUACAUACCA
This is a long non-coding RNA of Acanthochromis polyacanthus (spiny chromis), 725 nucleotides long. RefSeq lists it as uncharacterized. Lineage: Eukaryota; Metazoa; Chordata; Actinopteri; Pomacentridae. The transcript is spliced from 2 exons. The record is from RefSeq and is a predicted model, not a curated record.